AUUGAACGCUGGCGGCAGGCCUAACACAUGCAAGUCGAACGGUAACAGAAAGCAGCUUGCUGCUUUGCUGACGAGUGGCGGACGGGUGAGUAAUGUCUGGGAAACUGCCUGAUGGAGGGGGAUAACUACUGGAAACGGUAGCUAAUACCGCAUAACGUCGCAAGACCAAAGAGGGGGACCUUCGGGCCUCUUGCCAUCGGAUGUGCCCAGAUGGGAUUAGCUAGUAGGUGGGGUAACGGCUCACCUAGGCGACGAUCCCUAGCUAGUCUGAGAGGAGGACCAGCCACACUGGAACUGAGACACGGUCCAGACUCCUACGGGAGGCAGCAGUGGGGAAUAUUGCACAAUGGGCGCAAGCCUGAUGCAGCCAUGCCGCGUGUAUGAAGAAGGCCCUCGGGUUGUAAAGUACUUUCAGCGAGGAGGAAGGUGUUGUGGUUAAUAACCACAGCAAUUGACGUUACUCGCAGAAGAAGCACCGGCUAACUCCGUGCCAGCCGCCGCCGUAA
Molecule: ribosomal RNA, 506 nt
Filed under: uncultured bacterium
Lineage: Bacteria
Description: partial 16S ribosomal RNA
Rfam family: Bacterial small subunit ribosomal RNA
Source: RNAcentral